GCGGCUCCCUGCUGUCCCAUUGCCUUCCAGGUGGCGGGCGUGGACAGAGCUGUGUGAGCUUCCUGUGAAUCUCAGCCACCUGCCUUCUGCCUCUUCAUCCACACCUGGUGAUGGCAGAGGAUGCCGUCGUCACUGCUCCCCCUCCCAUGGGCACUUCGUAAGUCCUGCUUGCCAUAGUCAGUAUGGUGGAGGGCCCGAGGCGAGGACUGCAGUGCUGUCUCUUGAACCUGAGAAGCACCCAUUGAGUGCCAGCUGGGUGCCGAGUGCCCUGGCCGACACGGGGCUCACAGAACUGAAUACGGAACCCUGGCCUGCGACCGGCUCACUGAUUUGUUCAGCCUUAAACUGGAACAUUAAAAGCAAACAGAAGAGUUUCCUUAAGAGACUGAGCUGUCAAGUGCAUUUUGCUGAUCUUCUGGAAAAAAAGAAAGGAAACGUGGACUCUUCGGUGUCAUUCUCUAAAGCCCUGCAGUUGACCUUAGGCUCUUCAGUGCAACAUGUUGUCUUGAGGCUCUGUGCUGUACCACGUAGGGGUCGAGGAUCUUGUCGAGCUGAUUCAGCGUCGGAUGAGGCAGGCUGGUACUUGAAAGGUAAACUCACCUGACCAAGCUCACAGGGUAAGUCAGUAAGUAGGUGUGGGUCACAGAGUCGAAGCGGAACAGUUGGACACGACUUAGUGGCUGAACAACAACAACAAAAGGAAUCGACUACACACCCUUUAGGGCUCCCCUGGUGGCUCAGAGGGUAAAUCGCCUGCCUGCAAUGUGGGAGACCCGGGUUCAGUCCUUGGGUUGUGAAGAUCCCCUGGAGAAGGAAACGGUGACCCACUCCAGAAUUCUUGCCUGGAGAACCCCAUAGACGGAGGAGCCUAGUGGGCUACAGUCCACAGGGUCACAAAGAGCUGGACACGACUGAGCGACUUCACUUUCUUUCUUUCUUUGCACAGCCUUUAAGAGCUUCCCUGGUGGCUCAGUGGUAAACAAUCCGUCUGCCAAUGCAAGAGAUAUGAGUUCAAUCCCUGGGUUGGCAGCAUCACCACUGGGAGGCUGGCGGAGAUGCAGAAUCUUCAGGCUCUCUCAAGACCCUAGUCCUCCUGAGAAUCUUCAUUUUUACAAGGUGUUUGUUGGGUUGCACACUGGAGUUUGAACAAUACUGCCCUAGAGCACAG
RNAcentral lists this long non-coding RNA (1168 nucleotides) under Bos indicus x Bos taurus (hybrid cattle). RNAcentral's name for it is "lncRNA (ENSBIXG00005010885.1)". Lineage: Eukaryota; Metazoa; Chordata; Mammalia; Artiodactyla; Bovidae. The record is from RNAcentral.